UGGGGAAUAUUGCACAAUGGGCGCAAGCCUGAUGCAGCCAUGCCGCGUGUAUGAAGAAGGCCUUCGGGUUGUAAAGUACUUUCAGCGGGGAGGAAGGGAGUAAAGUUAAUACCUUUGCUCAUUGACGUUACCCGCAGAAGAAGCACCGGCUAACUCCGUGCCAGCAGCCGCGGUAAUACGGAGGGUGCAAGCGUUAAUCGGAAUUACUGGGCGUAAAGCGCACGCAGGCGGUUUGUUAAGUCAGAUGUGAAAUCCUCGGGCUCAACCUGGGAACUGAAUCUGAUACUGGCAAGCUUGAGUCUCGUAGAGGGGGGUAGAAUUCCAGGUGUAGCGGUGAAAUGCGUAGAGAUCUGGAGGAAUACCGGUGGCGGAGGCGGCCCCCUGGACGAAGACUGACGCUCAGGUGCGAAAGCGUGGGGUGCAAACAGG
Molecule: ribosomal RNA, 429 nt
Filed under: Chloroflexota bacterium
Lineage: Bacteria; Bacillati; Chloroflexota
Description: Chloroflexi bacterium partial 16S ribosomal RNA
Rfam family: Bacterial small subunit ribosomal RNA
Source: RNAcentral